UACGUAGGGUGCAAGCGUUGUCCGGAAUUAUUGGGCGUAAAGAGCUCGUAGGCGGUUUGUCGCGUCGGCUGUGAAACCUCGGGGCUCAACCCCGAGCCUGCAGUCGAUACGGGCAGACUAGAGUGCUGUAGGGGAGACUGGAAUUCCUGGUGUAGCGGUGAAAUGCGCAGAUAUCAGGAGGAACACCGGUGGCGAAGGCAGGUCUCUGGGCCAUUACUGACACUGAGAAGCGAAAGCAUGGGGAGCGAACAGG
This 253-nucleotide ribosomal RNA is filed under the name uncultured bacterium. Its description in RNAcentral is "partial 16S ribosomal RNA". It matches the Rfam family "Bacterial small subunit ribosomal RNA", at positions 524 to 776 of the family's 1533-position model. The record is from RNAcentral.